RNAcentral lists this unclassified non-coding RNA (430 nucleotides) under Zea mays. Its description in RNAcentral is "misc RNA Zm00001eb180870". Lineage: Eukaryota; Viridiplantae; Streptophyta; Magnoliopsida; Poales; Poaceae. The record is from RNAcentral.
CAUCCAUAGUGAGAGCGAGGUGGCUUGGGAAAGACACCAGGGCUGAGCUGAACCCUGCGGCAGCGCAUGGCGAGGUGGCUUGGGAAAGACACCAGGGCGGCCGCUCGGUCACUAGUGAGAGCGAGGGCGAGGCGAUGAGGGGACCUGGACAUGGAGUCGAGCGCGAGUUGCUGGGGCAAGCGCCAUGGCAGGCCGGAGCUAACGACCAUGGAGUUCAAGUAUGGGGAGGUGUGGCAGGCGAGCACCAGUUAGCUGUGGUCGGUGGUGGAGGCUGGCUCCGACGAGCACGACGACUGAGAGAUGGCACAUCCGCUUGGGGAGGCAGAGAAGCGAUGCAGCCAGGGAGCUUCGACGGUGGCCAAGGAAAUGAGGAUAAGGGAAAAUCAGCUAGAAGAUAAUAGGAUAAAGACAUCGACUAGAGAGAUGAGGC